UCUUCUACCUCUGAUGGCUUUUUUAUAUCCCAGGAAAAGUAUAUCCAGGAUCUUCUUGCUCGUGCUGCUCUUACUGACGAGCGUGUUGUUGAGACUGCUAUGGAGCUCAAUGUUCACCUCCGUGCUACUGAUGGUGAUCCUCUCCCUGACCCGACGCGUUAUCGUCAUCUUGUUGGCAGUCUUGUCUAUCUAGCUGUCACUCGUCCGGACAUCUCUUAUCCGGUUCAUAUUCUGAGUCAGUUUGUCUCUGCCCCCACCUCGGUUCACUAUAGUCAUCUCCUUCAUGUUCUUCGAUAUCUUCGAGGCACGAUCUCUCACCGUCUAUUCUUUCCUCGCUCCAGUUCUUUACAGCUCCAGGCCUAUUCGGAUGCUACGUGGGCUAGUGAUCCUUCCGAUCGCCGUUCACUUUCUUCUUACUGUGUUUUUCUUGGUGGUUCUCUCAUUGCCUGGAAGACGAAGAAACAACUUGCAGUUUCCCGUUCGAGUGCCGAGGCUGAGUUGCGAGCAAUGGCUCUUUUGACGGCAGAGGUGACUUGGUUACGGUGGUUACUUCAGGAUUUUGGUGUUUCUGUCACUACACCGACUCUGCUUUUAUCUGACAGUACAGGUGCUAUCAGCAUUGCA
RNAcentral lists this ribosomal RNA (624 nucleotides) under Triticum aestivum (bread wheat). RNAcentral's name for it is "partial small subunit ribosomal RNA". Lineage: Eukaryota; Viridiplantae; Streptophyta; Magnoliopsida; Poales; Poaceae. The record is from RNAcentral.